Molecule: long non-coding RNA, 725 nt
Filed under: Pan troglodytes (chimpanzee)
Lineage: Eukaryota; Metazoa; Chordata; Mammalia; Primates; Hominidae
Description: long non-coding RNA NONPTRT000991
Source: RNAcentral
AUGGGAUCACGGAGCCAGAAAUGCCUGUAGAGCAAUCUAGAUUUGAGGGGGAUGACAUUUGAACUGCGAUCUGAAGGGACAAGAGGAAGGUAGCCCUGAAAGGAACAUAGCGAAAAGCAUCCCUGGUAGAAGGAAAAUAAGCAAAGAUUGUGAGGCCGAAAUGAAGAGUAACAUCAAGGGAACUUGGUUUAUGAUACAGACGGCAUUACAAGUUUAGGCCAGCAUGUCUGGAGUAUGGUGCAAGAGAGAGAAAGAAGUGAAGAUGAGAUUGGAGAAGGAUCAAAAAGCCAGGUCAUGUAGGACAGUAUAGCUCAAGGCCAAAUAAUACCCACCUGUGAGUUCAGUGUGACUGAUGAGCCAACGGUCUGCAACCUCAAAACAGAAAGAAGGAGGAGGGUCCAGGAUCUUGCCAACACUAAGAUGUCAGAGGAGUAGGAUCCAGCCAUCAAAGAAUGUUCAGAACCCACUGAACAGACAGAGGGAAAACCAAGAGUGUGAUAUUCCUCAAGACAAAAGAAGAAAGCGGCAGGAAGAAGCUGAAUGGUCAGCUUUGUAGGCUGCUGACAAGAGUUUGGGUAAGGUGAGGACCCACAAAUGUCCAUUUGAUGUGCCAUCAUGAGUAUUGGUUGGUAACCUCAACUAGAGAAGUUUCUGUAGAUCUCUGGUAUGGAAUCCUGUUUGAAGAAGAUUGAAGAAUUAAUGUGAGAUAUGAAAGUAAAAAGAGC